AUAUCGGUAUGUUGUGUACACUCUCAUUGCUCCAGUAGUGCUGUUGUUUUUUGCGAAUGUGAAAUAACCCUUUAAACAUUUUGAAGUUAUGAAGCCUUUACAGGACAAACACUGCAUCUGUAAUGUUCUGAGUUUUGUGUUCCAGCAAACUUUAGUGUCUUUUAUUUUGAAAGAGAUUUCAUUUGAAUGUAUUUAAUUAUUUUUGUAAUUUUAUGUUUUUCUUAUCAAUCCAUAUAAUUUUCAUUUUUUUAUAUAGCACAAGGAAAGAAAACAAUGUACUUUGUAAAAAGUUAGUUUACAUUGGUGUGACGUCACUUAGAGGCGCUGUUACGUCUGACUCUCAGUUCUACAUGUGACUGAAGAGAGUCAGACAGACUGUUGGUGAGAGGAUGUGUGUGUGAUCCCAUGUCUUUUGUUUAAUAAACUGCAGGUAUGUAAACCACAAACCACUAUAGGAUCACAUAAUUGAGUGAAAUUGGCCAAAUAUUGUCUGAUCAGUGUGUUUCAUGUGUAAUGUAAAGGAAAAGUGUACAUGUUGAGUUUUUGAGAAUGUUGAGAAUUUUAUUUUCUAUAAUUUUUAUGUAUAUUUGUGUAAGAAAUGUAAGAGACUAUCAGAUGGACUUUAUUCAGGACUCUCAGUUCUACAUGUGACUGAAGAGAGUCAGACAGACUGUUGGUGAGAGGAUGUGUGUGUGAUCCCGUGUCUUUUGUUUAAUAAACUGCAGACGUGAUUCACCAAAGAGCCUGGAGUCGGUGUGUCAUUUGUGGUGCUGGGUGAAAUCCGCUACA
This is a long non-coding RNA of Tachysurus fulvidraco (yellow catfish), 789 nucleotides long. RefSeq lists it as uncharacterized. NCBI's taxonomy places the organism in Eukaryota, Metazoa, Chordata, Actinopteri, Siluriformes, Bagridae. The record is from RefSeq and is a predicted model, not a curated record. The transcript is spliced from 2 exons.